RNAcentral lists this non-coding RNA (23 nucleotides) under Mus musculus (house mouse). Lineage: Eukaryota; Metazoa; Chordata; Mammalia; Rodentia; Muridae. The record is from RNAcentral.
UACCAUGUAGGUGCUGGGGGUCA